Molecule: ribosomal RNA, 449 nt
Filed under: uncultured soil bacterium
Lineage: Bacteria
Description: bacterial SSU rRNA
Rfam family: Bacterial small subunit ribosomal RNA
Source: RNAcentral
AGAACGAACGCUGGCGGCAUGCCUAACACAUGCAAGUCGAACGAGACCUUCGGGUCUAGUGGCGCACGGGUGCGUAACGCGUGGGAAUCUGCCCUUGGGUUCGGGAUAACAGUUGGAAACGACUGCUAAUACCGGAUGAUGACUUCGGUCCAAAGAUUUAUUGCCCAGGGAUGAGCCCGCGUAGGAUUAGCUAGUUGGUGAGGUAAAGGCUCACCAAGGCGACGAUCCUUAGCUAGGUCUGAGAGGAUGAUCAGCCACACUGGGACUGAGACACGGCCCAGACUCCUACGGGAGGCAGCAGUGGGAAUAUUGGACAAUGGGCAAAGCCUGGAUCCAGCAAUGCCGCGUGAGUGAUGUAGGCCUUAGGUGUAAAGCUCUUUUACCGGGAUGAUAAUGACAGUACCGGAGAAUAAGCCCCGGACUAAACUCCGUGACCGAGUACGCCCGAC